Drosophila santomea is the source of this 1136-nucleotide long non-coding RNA. RefSeq lists it as uncharacterized. NCBI's taxonomy places the organism in Eukaryota, Metazoa, Arthropoda, Insecta, Diptera, Drosophilidae. The transcript is spliced from 3 exons. The record is from RefSeq and is a predicted model, not a curated record.
UGUCAAGGCAAUUAAUACGUAUACUUGAGUUGAAAUAAGUUUUUUUUUCCAAAAAUGUAUUAAAAUUAUAGAGUUUACGAGGACGAACUCGAACCUCGCAGAAAACGGAAUGACAUCUACGAUCCAAGUCAGGCCCACGACGGAAAGUCGAAGAAACUGCAUGUAGCUGUGUUGAUAAAACGGCGAGGAUAACUAGGUUACCAAGGUCCAAACUUAUCACGCAUGACUCACGUCUCGCUGUCGAUGUGGAUGCAGCCCAUCCUUCCCUCCUCCUCAUGUGCGAACCUCUUUAUUUCCCCCUUUACUUUUCGUAUGUAAAUGGCUGUCAGGGUGAACAUGACGAUAUUGAAAGUGCUUAGGAUCAGCGACGGCCCAGAUACGUAGAUCCAGGAGAAUGUGCUCGAAACUGGUUCAAUAUAGUAAAGCAAUACCUUGGUAACGAUUGAAAGCUUACAUUUGACACCGCACUUAAUAAAACCGACCAAAGGCAACCAGUUCCACUUAUUGAGAUCGUUUUCCCACAUCCGAUUAACCAUAUAAAUACUUCCUGUCAUGACGGCGGCUGUAGUCCAGACGAAGGCGUUGUACAGCUGGAACCUAUAAGUAGGUUCGGUUCGAUUGAGCGACGUCAAGAGUUUCCAUAAUUGGUAGCUGAUGACGGAGAGCCAGAGAUUGGAAGCUCUCCACAAGAAGUGCAAGCUGUAACCUGCGAGACGUAUAUAUUACCAGGGAUAUCUUUUACCCAGUAGACGAAUUCAUUAACUAACCAGCUGGAGAGCAGACACUGUUCAAUACCUUCAUAUUAAUUAGUAUAAUGAUCAAAUACUGGGUUAACCUAGAGACCAUGCAGCUUAUAAUGCACUUGCCAGUCACAUUGCGCAGAUCCUUGAUGUAUAGAUAUACGGCGAUUGUCAGAAUAAAGCAUAUCAUUGAUAUUGUUAUGACUGCAACAGAAAAUAUCAAUAAUGUAACAGCAGAUUGGCAAACCAAAAAAGGAUACAUGUAAGUUAUGCAGCUGUGCUUCACUAUCCACAUGGAGUUUGGAAAGUCCGAAUUAAACUGAUACGGAUACAGGCAGUAGUAUUGCUUUUCAAUGGACAACUGGCCAUCGGGGAUUAAAAGCGUUCCAUUCUAAA